RNAcentral lists this ribosomal RNA (732 nucleotides) under uncultured bacterium. RNAcentral's name for it is "bacterial SSU rRNA". It matches the Rfam family "Bacterial small subunit ribosomal RNA", at positions 59 to 786 of the family's 1533-position model. The record is from RNAcentral.
CAGUCGACGGCAGCACGGGAAGCAAUCCUGGUGGCGAGUGGCGAACGGGUGAGUAAUAUAUCGGAACGUGCCCAGUAGUGGGGGAUAGCCCGGCGAAAGCCGGAUUAAUACCGCAUACGACCUGAGGGUGAAAGCGGGGGAUCGCAAGACCUCGCGCUAUUGGAGCGGCCGAUAUCAGAUUAGCUAGUUGGUGGGGUAAAGGCCUACCAAGGCUACGAUCUGUAGUUGGUCUGAGAGGACGACCAGCCACACUGGGACUGAGACACGGCCCAGACUCCUACGGGAGGCAGCAGUGGGGAAUUUUGGACAAUGGGCGCAAGCCUGAUCCAGCAAUGCCGCGUGCAGGAAGAAGGCCUUCGGGUUGUAAACUGCUUUUGUCAGGGAAGAAAUCUUCUGGGCUAAUACCCCGGGAGGAUGACGGUACCUGAAGAAUAAGCACCGGCUAACUACGUGCCAGCAGCCGCGGUAAUACGUAGGGUGCGAGCGUUAAUCGGAAUUACUGGGCGUAAAGCGUGCGCAGGCGGCUUUGCAAGACAGAUGUGAAAUCCCCGGGCUCAACCUGGGAACUGCAUUUGUGACUGCAAGGCUAGAGUACGGCAGAGGGGGAUGGAAUUCCGCGUGUAGCAGUGAAAUGCGUAGAUAUGCGGAGGAACACCAAUGGCGAAGGCAAUCCCCUGGGCCUGUACUGACGCUCAUGCACGAAAGCGUGGGGAGCAAACAGGAUUAGAUACC